CGAAAGUAGUAUGCAGAGACGACCGCCGUGGAGUAUGAAGGUUUUCGGAGGUAAACUCCUGUCAAGAGGGGGGAAACUUAUUUUUACUAAUACUGGCAGUAAGAUGCGGUACCUCUAGAGGAAACCCCGGCUAAUUCAGUGCCCGCCAGCGCGGUAAACAUGAAGGGGCCAGCGUUAAUUGGAAUCUAUGGGGGUAAAGCGGUGGUUGGGGGGUUUUUCAGUUAGAAGUGAAAGCCCCUGGCUCUACCGGGGGAAUCCAUUUGGAAAUGCAUAGGCAGGAGUUUGGAGGGGGACAUGGAAAUUCCAGGGGUAGAGGGAAAUUCGGUAAAAUUAGAGAGAAACCCCGGGGGGAAAGGGAAUUCUCUGGUCAUAUACUGCAGUUAGGACGGAAAGGUUGGGGGACCAACCAGGUUUAGAUACCCUGGUAGUCC
RNAcentral lists this ribosomal RNA (431 nucleotides) under uncultured bacterium. RNAcentral describes it as "partial 16S ribosomal RNA". It matches the Rfam family "Bacterial small subunit ribosomal RNA", at positions 376 to 796 of the family's 1533-position model. The record is from RNAcentral.